CUGCGUCAGGGACAUGGACCCAUCCGUAUGGCCUUGCGACCCGACCCCACUAUUUCGUGACAAGGUAGCCCGCGCGCGUCAGUGCUAUCGAGCGAAAUGUGGGCUCACGGAAGCAAACGUCAUUCGGAAACUGCCUCGCCAGCUAUCAUGUACUAACCCGCUCUACGCAGCACCUCGACGCCGGACGUCGCCUGCUGUGUUCGUCGGAGCCGGGCCGGGCAGCAGCUACGAGCGUCACUCGCACCGCCGCACACCGUGUUCCGUCGUCGGUGCGGACUUGUGGGCCUGGACUACUACGGGAUCCCGAGGUCCGCUUUCGAGAUUGCGGACCACGAGUAGAAAGGAUAUCCAGUGUGCUGCUCCACGUUUGCCAUCCUCCCAACGUCCCCCACCGGAGAUGGCCUCGAGCACCUCUUACCGUGGCUGACCGCGUUGGCUCCUUUGCAUUUCCACGUCCAUGGCGUCCUGCUGGCACGAGGGACUUCGUCUGCUACUACUGCCCACGUGUAAGACGGAUAUCCAGCGCGCUGCUCCACGUUUGCCAUCCUCCCAACGUCCCCAUCAGGAGAUGGCCUAGAGCACCGCUCGUACCGUGACCCACCUUCCCCUUUGCCGGUGCGGUCUCCCUGGAAGAGGAGAUUGCUCAUCGCCCUGCUUUGCUACGGGCAAGUACCACGCACAGGCGACUCGUACUACGGCUGUGUCCUAGAGUGGUCGAAAAA
RNAcentral lists this long non-coding RNA (722 nucleotides) under Dermacentor andersoni. RNAcentral's name for it is "uncharacterized LOC126527201". The record is from RNAcentral. Lineage: Eukaryota; Metazoa; Arthropoda; Arachnida; Ixodida; Ixodidae.